UGAACGCUGGCGGCGUGCCUAAUACAUGCAAGUCGAGCGAACGGACGAGAAGCUUGCUUCUCUGAUGUUAGCGGCGGACGGGUGAGUAACACGUGGAUAACCUACCUAUAAGACUGGGAUAACUUCGGGAAACCGGAGCUAAUACCGGAUAAUAUUUUGAACCGCAUGGUUCAAAAGUGAAAGACGGUCUUGCUGUCACUUAUAGAUGGAUCCGCGCUGCAUUAGCUAGUUGGUAAGGUAACGGCUUACCAAGGCAACGAUGCAUAGCCGACCUGAGAGGGUGAUCGGCCACACUGGAACUGAGACACGGUCCAGACUCCUACGGGAGGCAGCAGUAGGGAAUCUUCCGCAAUGGGCGAAAGCCUGACGGAGCAACGCCGCGUGAGUGAUGAAGGUCUUCGGAUCGUAAAACUCUGUUAUUAGGGGAGAACAUAUGUGUAAGUAACUGUGCACAUCUUGACGGUACCUAAUCAGAAAGCCACGGCUAACUACGUG
RNAcentral lists this ribosomal RNA (495 nucleotides) under uncultured bacterium. Its description in RNAcentral is "partial 16S ribosomal RNA". It matches the Rfam family "Bacterial small subunit ribosomal RNA", at positions 30 to 507 of the family's 1533-position model. The record is from RNAcentral.